CAGAGAAUGACAAAUGCCUUGUCUCAGCUUCCUUUUACCAUGUACAGUCCAGGAUCCCAGCCAGAGAUAAGGAGCCACCCACACUGAGCAAGGUUGCCUUCCAGAUCACUGGUCCUUAGGAAGGAGCAGCUCUAGCAGGAACUUGGUCUAUGCGCCUUGGCCUCAAGCUCAUAUCUGAUGGAAAGAAAGGUUUGUUGGAUGAAUAAAACCACAAGAUUUAAUCACCACAAAGUACCAUGGAUGAUGCUGUGCUCACCAACAUUCUCUUUCUCCGAACAUGCACCUCCCUGUGUAGCUUCUGUGAACUGCCUGGCAACUCUUCACUUUAAUACAGACAGCUUUUUCUGAACUUUCCUCCUUUAACUCCAGCAGUUUCUACUGAAUGAUGCAUCUUUCCCAGUGAACACUUUCUGUAGCAUGCAUGCCCUGUCAGAAAUCAAAUAUGACACAAACUCAGGAGGGCUUUACUCUAUUACGAUUCCGGUGUUCCUUUCUAUCAUUCAUGAUGACAUGGUGUCAGCAGCUAUUUUACUAGAUACUAUUGUUCACACUUAUGGUUACCCUACAGGCAGAUAUUAUCAGCCUUUGACCUUUUACACAAAGGAGAGGUAAUAGGAGUGAUGGAGGAGUUAGGAAGGAGGAACAUAAUGAAAAAUUCUAUCACUUAUUGUAACUAGUAGUUUUUGUAAAUGUCUAAAACCCUUUGAUAAAUAUUUUACAAUAUUCU
This 727-nucleotide long non-coding RNA is filed under the name Cricetulus griseus (Chinese hamster). RNAcentral describes it as "lncRNA (ENSCGRG00015017911.2)". Lineage: Eukaryota; Metazoa; Chordata; Mammalia; Rodentia; Cricetidae. The record is from RNAcentral.